GCUAGAUCAUCAAAUUUGCCUUGAUUUUAUAAAUUUCAUACUUUCGUUACUGUUGCCGGAAUCCGGCAGCAUCUUCCCCAUAAGAUUCUUAAAGGGGCGAAAUCAGUGAUGGGUUUGGGAGUGUGAGGGUGUCAUCAUUGGCGACGGGGUGUCGAAGCUUGCUGCCGGAGAUCCGGCAGAUUCGUCUCCUCAAGAUAAGUUCCAGUAACUUCCUCAUUUCAUAUCAGUUUUUCCAUUUCAUGAGUGUUGGUGAGAUUUGAGUAUGUCUUGUUACUGGUGAGUUCUUGUGGUGAAGAGUGGUCCUUGGUGGUAUAUAUUUACUCAUGGCAGACCCUAUGUACAAAGUGUGGAUGCAUGUAUGUAUAUGAAAGAAAGUAGAAAUGGUUUGGAUGUUUACCUUGAUGAUAGGUGGAAAACGUGUUGUUAGAUUGUAGGUUUCAUCAUACAAUUAUCUUCAACUCUUCUUCCUCUUCUUCCUCGUACUAAUCUAUCCUAUGUGAGUGAUGUGGUGUAAAGAGAAUGUGUUUGACAGAGAUGGCUGCUUGAAAGUGUAAGGACGUGGGGCUUAUAUAGAGUAUCUGACUCUUCUCUUGCAAGCUGCUGUGCAAGUGGAUGAAGGUUGAACAUGGGGAGGGUUUAACUUGGGUAAAGCUUAACUUGGGAGAACCCUUUUGGAGAUCAUUGUCAAAUGUCAAUUCCCAAUUCCCCAUGAUGAUUUGUACCUCCUUGGAGUGUGAGCACGAAACAUCGAACGAGCUGCCCCGGACUUUGACUUCUCUCUCUAAUUGUAAUAGAUUAAGAUUCGAUAAAUUUUUAUAAUAAGACUUCAUCGAACUUCUGAUGGAUGGGCCGGACAUUGAAACUUUUAUUUGGUGUUACACUUUUAGUUGUA
Molecule: long non-coding RNA, 892 nt
Organism: Salvia hispanica
Lineage: Eukaryota; Viridiplantae; Streptophyta; Magnoliopsida; Lamiales; Lamiaceae
Source: RefSeq, a predicted model, not a curated record